RNAcentral lists this long non-coding RNA (420 nucleotides) under Zostera marina. RNAcentral describes it as "long non-coding RNA (ZMAR_LNC006151)". The record is from RNAcentral. Lineage: Eukaryota; Viridiplantae; Streptophyta; Magnoliopsida; Alismatales; Zosteraceae.
UAUGUGGUAGUGCUUUUACUACUUGUAAAGAACUUUGCAAUGUUCAUGGAAAGGGAUUGCCUCGAUUAUUUUCAUCGACUUAUAAAGUUUACGAGAUUUAGGGUUCAGCUCUCACUGUAGGCUUACCUACUUUUACCUGGUGAUCAUUAUGGGAGUUUUGGUCACCCAAGAAUUUUGUUAUUCAAUACUACCUGAUUGUCAACUUUUGUAUUAGAGAGGUUUCCUUUGCAAUAAAAAUAAUAAUCUUACAAAUGUACCUUUUUGAGUUAAGAUGUAAAUUUUGUCAAAGGUAAAGAAUCUAACAAUGUUCCCUUAGUUGAGUUCGAUGUAAAGGGGAGCACUAAGUCAUUAUGGGAGUUUUGGUCACCCAAGAAUUUUGUUAUUCAAUACUACCUGAUUGUCAACUUUUGUAUUAGAGAG